RNAcentral lists this ribosomal RNA (120 nucleotides) under Neogale vison (American mink). Lineage: Eukaryota; Metazoa; Chordata; Mammalia; Carnivora; Mustelidae. The record is from RNAcentral.
GUCUACGGCCAUACCACCCUGAACGCGCCCGAUCUCGUCUGAUCUCGGAAGCUAAGCAGGGUCGGGCCUGGUUAGUACUUGGAUGGGAGGAACCAAUGAGAAUCAUGGAGCGAGCAGGUG